GUACUGUGGCCAGAGAAAGCAGGGGAGAUGCAGAAUUAAUACUUCCCUUUCUGUGUUCUAGGAGGGCGAUUUCGGGAGAAGGCGGCCACUUUGGCUUAAGGAUACCUAUAGGCCCCUCAACGCCACAUGCAUGGAAAACAUGGCACAAAAGCUACACGACAGGGAGUCUUCUGAUGAGGAUGAGAUAUUCUAUAAGGAUGCAGGGGAAGUCAUCAAAGCCCCAGCAGAGAAGCUUCUGGCUGCCUAUUGGAUUGAUGAAGAGGCGGGUGAGGAAAGUGAGACAGCACACAAGACUGCCACAGAGUGAGCCCUGUUCUGACUCAAGCCACCUGCAAAUGUUAUUUUCUUCUUAAAAUGGCUUCUCAUAUUGGCUUCUCAGCAUAGCCUGUAAAAAUACUUAUUUUUCUGAUAUUAAAAUGUAUAAAUUCAUAA
Molecule: long non-coding RNA, 432 nt
Organism: Aethalodelphis obliquidens (Pacific white-sided dolphin)
Lineage: Eukaryota; Metazoa; Chordata; Mammalia; Artiodactyla; Delphinidae
Exons: 2
Source: RefSeq, a predicted model, not a curated record